UACCCGCAGCACAAGUGGUGGUCAUUAUUAUUGGGCCUAAAGCGUCCGUAGCUGGCCUGUUAGAUGCCUGGGUAAAUCGAUGCGCUCAACGUAUCGACUUCCGGGUAGACCGGCAGGCUCGGGACCGGGAGAGGCGUGAGCUACUCGAGGGGUAGGGGUAAAAUCCUGUAAUCCUUCGGGGAGGACCAGUGGCGAAGGCGUCACGCUAGAACGGCUCCGACAGUGAGGGACGAAGCCCUGGGGCGCAAACCGG
RNAcentral lists this ribosomal RNA (253 nucleotides) under uncultured bacterium. RNAcentral describes it as "partial 16S ribosomal RNA". It matches the Rfam family "Archaeal small subunit ribosomal RNA", at positions 474 to 727 of the family's 1478-position model. The record is from RNAcentral.